GUCCUCCUACAAGCUGGGGCACACCUGGGGCUCCUUCAAUGCAACAACCUGGUUAUGGUUAUGUGCAGCCGGGAGCAUAUCCUGGUCAAACACCUCAGUAUAACAUGUCUCAGCCUCCUUAUGGUGGCUAUCCUUCCCAACCAACACCUGGUGGAUAUCCUGGCAAUUGGGACCAGACACCAACACAGCAAACUAGCCAGGGAAGUGGUUAUGAUUACUACAGUCAACAACCAUCCUCUCAGCAACCACAAGCCCCUGGUGGUUCAGCAGCACCAGCAGAUAGUACUGGUUACAGUUACAGUCAGCCACCAGCUUCUGGCUAUAAUCAGCAGGGCCAAGGUUAUGCUCAAGAUAGCUAUGGUGGAUACCAUGCACCUCAGUCAGGCUAUGGGCAGGCAGCGCCAUAUGAUCAGCAACAAGGCUAUAAUUCUGCAGCUGGUUAUGGUAAUGUGAACAACACAAGUCAGGAGGGUCAUACUCCUUCUUAUGGAGCUCAAGGAGAUUCAACACAGGCUCCUCCACCAGUCCAGUCAUCUGCUGCGAUGGGCCAGCAGGGUUAUGGUACCGGCCAGCAGCCUAGUCCAAACACUGCCAGUUAUCCACCACAAGGAGCUACUCAGCCCAGUUAUGGCGUGCCUCCAACUUCGCAGAGUGGCUAUGGGAGUCAGGUCCCACCCCAGUCUGGGUAUGCUGGCUAUGGGAUGCCUCAAGCACAGAAACCUCUUGCCAAUCCACCUGCUUAUGGACAGACU
RNAcentral lists this long non-coding RNA (752 nucleotides) under Citrus sinensis (sweet orange). RNAcentral describes it as "long non-coding RNA (CSIN_LNC001828)". Lineage: Eukaryota; Viridiplantae; Streptophyta; Magnoliopsida; Sapindales; Rutaceae. The record is from RNAcentral.